GCUCAGAUGGCGGAAUUGGUAUACGCGCAGCCUUGAGGUGGCUGUGGGAGCAAUCCCGUGCAGGUUCAAGUCCUGUUCUGAGCA
RNAcentral lists this transfer RNA (84 nucleotides) under Candidatus Andersenbacteria bacterium RIFCSPHIGHO2_12_FULL_45_11b. RNAcentral's name for it is "tRNA-Leu". It matches the Rfam family "tRNA". From Rfam's summary of the family: Transfer RNA (tRNA) molecules are approximately 80 nucleotides in length. Their secondary structure includes four short double-helical elements and three loops (D, anti-codon, and T loops). Lineage: Bacteria; Candidatus Anderseniibacteriota. The record is from RNAcentral.